UUUUGUUUUGUUUUUUUUGCAGAUCUCGUUAAUGACUCACCUAAGAUGGGUUCUCAUGUCUGCCUUUGGAUUCAAUUUGUUGAGGCCCAUGGAAAACCUCUCUGUGUUUGUUUCCAAAGAGAGAGUAGAUAAGGCGAACAAUGCCUUCUAACUUCGCAGGGCCUCUAGAAGAACCAGUGGCUUAGCUUGUCCCUGUUGUGGCCUUGCAGGAUUCCCGGCAGUGCUGGGAUCCUCCGCUACCUGACAAACGCCGUGGGAUCCCAGUAGUCACACGAAUCCAGUGAUUCUUGAAGUUGGAGCGGAUUCAAGGGACCUGGGAGAGCCCGGCGUAGCUUUGAGAAGCUUCCUGAGGAUCCAGGAGGUGAAUGAAGCCAUAACAGAUGGGUGUAUCUGGAGAGGCAGAGGGGAGAGGGAGAGUCCUCCGGGCCGUGAGAAACGACUGGGCACGUCUUCAAAGUGGGAAGACCCAAGGAUCGAUAGCUGGAAGUUGAAGGGCAGGCUUCAUCCUGAUUUGGGACUUGCUUCUAAUCACCUGCACCGUCUGGAGUAUCCUGGAAGGGAGGGAUCAUCCACCGCUGUGCAGGAGAAGGAGCCCUGAGACCCUGAGAUGUCAUAUGACUCACUCAAGGUCAUCCCACCGUGACAGAGAUGAGAUUUGAUGUCCUGCCUUUGGAAGUACCUGGUCUAACCACUUGAUCAUUCUGGAAGAGAGCCUGAGUCAAAGAGGAUGUCAGAAGUGAUGCUAAGUCAGUAAAGACCAGUGAAACUUCUGGAGCCCUGAGCCACCAUGUGAGAAGAGAGAAGAAUCACUAGCCUGAGGCCACCAUGUUGUAAGGAAGCUCAAACCACGUGGAGUGGCCAUGUCUAGGGACCAGUUCCUGCUGAGACCAGUUUUCCCAGCAGAGGCCCCACCCAACCUCUGUCUAUACCCCCAGCCCACAGAAACUGGGGGCAGAGUAAAACUGUUC
This is a long non-coding RNA of Suricata suricatta (meerkat), 968 nucleotides long. RefSeq lists it as uncharacterized. The record is from RefSeq and is a predicted model, not a curated record. Lineage: Eukaryota; Metazoa; Chordata; Mammalia; Carnivora; Herpestidae. The transcript is spliced from 4 exons.